CUGCUGCCUCCCGUAGGAGUAUGGACCGUGUCUCAGUUCCAUUGUGGCCGAUCAGUCUCUCAACUCGGCUAUGCAUCAUCGCCUUGGUAAGCCGUUACCUUACCAACUAGCUAAUGCACCGCAGGUCCAUCCCAGAGUGAUAGCCAAAGCCAUCUUUCAAAUAAAAAGCCAUGCGGCUUUUAUUGUUAUGCGGUAUUAGCAUCUGUUUCCAAAUGUUAUCCCCCGCUCCGGGGCAGGUUACCUA
This 244-nucleotide ribosomal RNA is filed under the name uncultured bacterium. RNAcentral describes it as "partial 16S ribosomal RNA". The record is from RNAcentral.